This 980-nucleotide ribosomal RNA is filed under the name Acinetobacter sp. KVD3. RNAcentral describes it as "bacterial SSU rRNA". It matches the Rfam family "Bacterial small subunit ribosomal RNA", at positions 1 to 993 of the family's 1533-position model. The record is from RNAcentral. Lineage: Bacteria; Pseudomonadati; Pseudomonadota; Gammaproteobacteria; Moraxellales; Moraxellaceae.
AAGGACGAUACGAUGACGCUGGCGGCAGGCUUACACAUGCAAGUGCAGCGGGGAAAUGUAGCUUGCUACAUUACCUAGCGGCGGAGCGGUGAGUAAUGCUUAGGAAUCUGCCUAUUAGUGGGGGACAACAUUCCGAAAGGAAUCGUAAUACCGCAUACGUCCUACGGGAGAAAGCAGGGGACCUUCGGGCCUUGCGCUAAUAGAUGAGCCUAAGUCGGAUUAGCUAGUUGGUGGGGUAAAGGCCUACCAAGGCGACGAUCUGUAGGCGGUCUGAGAGGAUGAUCCGCCACACUGGGACUGAGACACGGCCCAGACUCCUACGGGAGGCAGCAGUGGGGAAUAUUGGACAAUGGGGGGAACCCUGAUCCAGCCAUGCGCCGUGUGUGAAGAAGGCCUUUUGGUUGUAAACGACUUUAACGGAGGAGGAGCGUACUAGUAUUAAUACUACUGGAUAGUGGACGUUACUCGCAGAAUAAGCACCGGCUAACUCUGUGCCAGCAGCCGCGGUAAUACAGAGGGUGCGAGCGUUAAUGCGAUUUACUGGGCGUAAAGCGUGCGUAGGCGCGUGAUUAAGUCGGAUGUGAAAUCCCUGACGUUAACUUAGGAAUUGCAUUGCAUACUGGUCAGCUAGAGUAUGGGAGAGGAUGGUAGAAUUCCAGGUGUAGCGGUGAAAUGCGUAGAGAUCUGGAGGAAUACGCAUGGGCAAGGCAGCCAUCUGGCCUAAUACUGACGCUGAGGUACGAAAGCAUGGGGAGCAAACAGGAUUAGAUACCCUGGUAGUCCAUGCGCUAAACGAUGUCUACUAGCCGUUGGGGCCUUUGAGGCUUUAGUGGCGCAGCUAACGCGAUAAGUAGACCGCCUGGGGAGUACGGUCCGAAGACUAAAACUCAAAUGAAUUGACGGGCGGCCGCACAAGGCGUGGACGAUGUGGUUUAAUUCGAUGCAACCGGAAGAACCUUACCUGGUCUUGACAUAGUAAG